GUGGUGGCCACAGUAGCAGAACCAGCAGCCAGAAAUGGAUUAUGAGAGAUUUGAGGCUCAGAGAAUGUGAAUCCCACAAGGCAUCACCUUGCCAAGCCAGGAAUUCUUCAUCUGCUCUGAACUUGGGUAGUUACCCUUGCGAGGUAGCAGAAAUCAAGAAUGGACUGCAGCUGCCCAUGCAGCAAGUUCUCCUCUGUCUCCAGCUCCCUGGGCUGAGCAUUUCAAGGGAAGGAGCCAUGGUGAGACUGAAGGUCAUCUCUUCCCCAAGUUAUGUCUCCUCACUGUCAUCACA
This is a long non-coding RNA of Passer montanus (Eurasian tree sparrow), 292 nucleotides long. RefSeq lists it as uncharacterized. NCBI's taxonomy places the organism in Eukaryota, Metazoa, Chordata, Aves, Passeriformes, Passeridae. The record is from RefSeq and is a predicted model, not a curated record. The transcript has 3 exons.